This 470-nucleotide ribosomal RNA is filed under the name uncultured bacterium. Its description in RNAcentral is "partial 16S ribosomal RNA". It matches the Rfam family "Bacterial small subunit ribosomal RNA", at positions 26 to 507 of the family's 1533-position model. The record is from RNAcentral.
AGGACGAACGCUGGCGGCGUGCUUAACACAUACAAGUCGAACGGAAAGGCCCUGCUUUUGUGGGGUGCUCGAGUGGCGAACGGGUGAGUAACACGUGAGUAACCUGCCCUUGACUUUGGGAUAACUUCAGGAAACUGGGGCUAAUACCGGAUAGGAGCUCCUGCUGCAUGGUGGGGGUUGGAAAGUUUCGGCGGUUGGGGAUGGACUCGCGGCUUAUCAGCUUGUUGGUGGGGUAGUGGCUUACCAAGGCUUUGACGGGUAGCCGGCCUGAGAGGGUGACCGGCCACAUUGGGACUGAGAUACGGCCCAGACUCCUACGGGAGGCAGCAGUGGGGAAUAUUGCACAAUGGGCGGAAGCCUGAUGCAGCAACGCCGCGUGCGGGAUGACGGCCUUCGGGUUGUAAACCGCUUUCGCCUGUGACGAAGCGUGAGUGACGGUAAUGGGUAAAGAAGCACCGGCUAACUACGUG